CUCGUUUCAGCUUGGAAGGUUUAGAAUGGACCAGCCCAUUCUGGUGAGCGUUUCCACUGUAAGUCAGACGUUUCAGGGCCAUGCAGGGUUUAGAAAAAAAUGCUCUUCCUGUCCACCAAUCAAUGGAUUGAAUAGUAGCUCCGCCCUAACGAACCGUUCCAUUUCCUAUGGCCCUACAUCUGAAGCAGGACCCUGAAUGGAUCGGUACGGUUUGCUUGUAUGGACUACUUUCAUAAUGGAAACACCCAAAAGAGUGAACUGUACCGAUCCGCUCAGUGGAAUCGAGGCAUUAGUUUCACUUUGGUGAGCAUUUAUCAUAUGGACUGGCAGACAGUGGCCUAUAGAUGCAUCUUACAAUUCAGACAUAAGUUUAGUGCAUUAUACCAUAUCCAUAAACUAGUGUUAUCUUAUAAGUACUAUUAACCAAACAAUACAACUCCUAUACCCAACAUUAGAAUGGGUAUAUUUUCAGAGUGAAACAUCUUUAAAAUGACCACAUCACCACCAAACACAUCCACUUUGUUCCUCCCGGGCAGAUUCUCACAAAAGACACAUUGAUCACCGCUGCUGCUAAUAUUAACAUACACAAAGCACCAAUGGCAGAACUCAAUCCAUAUUGACUGUCUUUGGCAAACAGUAUGGUACAUUUGUAGAGGAAGUGUUCCCUUAACUAUCAUUUAAUCAGAAGAUGUAAACACCUAUAAAUAGCAGCCAAGCAUGUUUGAGAUCUUGAGUCCACUUACCACUCGAGAUUUUCAUUUAAAAGGGACACUAUAGUCACCUGAACAACUUCAGCUUAAAG
Molecule: non-coding RNA, 802 nt
Organism: Pelobates cultripes (western spadefoot toad)
Lineage: Eukaryota; Metazoa; Chordata; Amphibia; Anura; Pelobatidae
Source: the annotation of a GenBank genome assembly